RNAcentral lists this ribosomal RNA (254 nucleotides) under uncultured bacterium. RNAcentral's name for it is "partial 16S ribosomal RNA". It matches the Rfam family "Bacterial small subunit ribosomal RNA", at positions 793 to 1055 of the family's 1533-position model. The record is from RNAcentral.
GUCCACGCCGUAACGUUGGGCGCUAGGUGUGGGAACCUUCCACGUUCUCCGUGCCGUAGCUAACGCAUUAAGCGCCCGCCUGGGAGUACGGCCGCAAGGCUAAACUCAAGGAAUUGACGGGGCCCGCACAAGCGGCGGAGCAUGCGGCUUAAUUCGAUGCAACGCGAAGAACCUUACCUAGGCUUGACAUAUACCGAAACUCAUAGAGAUAUGGGGUCCGCAAGGGCGGUAUACAGGUGGUGCAUGGUUGUCGU